CCAGCCCGGCCGAGCGGAGCCGAGCCCAGCCGAGCCCGGCCUAGCUUAGAGAAGCUGAGCCGAGUCGAGCCCGGCCCAGCCCUUGCCCGACCCAAAUGGCGCCCGCGGGGCCCCUCAGGGGCGAGGGGGUGGAGGGGCAAUGGCGGUGGGACCCUCGUGACCCCGUGAGGGAGACGGCGCUGAGCCCCUCAUGAGCCACAGAGGGGAUUGAGGGGGACGAGGGGAGAUGGCGUUGGAGACGGUCAUGGGAUGUGAGGGGGAAUGUGACGGGAGAUGGCACUGAGUCCCUCUUGAGCCAGCAACAGGGACAUGAGAGGAGAUGACAUUGGAGAGGUGAGAGGAGAUGAGUGGGUGAGGGAGAUGGCACUGGGGACAGUGAGGGACGUGAGGAGAGAUGGUGUUGGCUCUCUCAUGAGCUACUGAUGGAACGCGAGGGGAGAUAGCAUUGGGGACAGUGAGGGGACAUGAGGGGAGAUGGUGUUGGGGACAGUGAGGGGGGAUGUGAGGGGAGAUGGCACCGGGUCCCUCGUGGCUCUGGGCUCUUUGAGGGGACAUGGGAGGAGGUGGUGUGGGAGACAGUGAGGGCAUGAAGGGAGAUGGCACAAAGUCCCACGCAGCCCCAGGCUCAGUGAGGGGACAUUAAGGGAGAUGGCACUGGAGACAGUGAGGGGACAUGAGGGGGGAUGGCUUUGAGUUCAUUAUGUCCUUGACCUUGGUGAGGGGAGAUGGCAUUUGGGACCCUCAUGACCCAGUGAGAGGACACGAGAGAAGAUGGCAUUGGGUCCCUCACAGCAAGGAGGGAUGUGAGGGGGGUGAGGGGAGAUGGUGUUGGGUCCCUCACAGUCACCUGAGGGGACAGGAGGGGACAGGGGUGUUGGGUGCCUGCUGAGUGGACACACAGUGGGUUUGGGGACACCAAGUGAGGUGGCCACCAACCGCCCAGCCUCUGGCUUUGGGGUGCUGGCCUCAAAGGAAAGGGAGAUAUUCUGUGGUGAGGGAAAAAUGGGGAGUCCACAUGGCACCCCACCAUUGUGGGCUUCAGCAGUGCUUCCUUCAGUCCCCCUCCAGCAACUUGAAAUAGGGGAUCUAGCUCUUUGUUGGGGUCCAUGUGCUGGGUGGCACCAUGGAUCCAAAAAUGGGCCACAUUAAGUGUUGCUUCAGCCUAAACCUCCAUCGCUGGGAAAAGCUCCUAAGAAACUCAGAUACAAGUCCUACUUGCCAUCACAGGACAGAACCAGGAGCUGGCACAAAGGCUCGAUGGAGGGGGGUUAAAUAAAUAAAAAAUAAUAAUAAACUCUCCUCCUGAGAUUGAGGUGAAGAGUUGUGACUCGAGGCUGGCUUAGUGCCUGCACCCGACCCUGGAACUGAAAAUGGAACUGAAAGUCAAAGCAAUUAAAAAAGGAAAAGCCAGCAGCUCCCCAGGAGCACAUUCCCUGCCAUUCCCACCCCUUCCUCUGUAAAUAACCUGCUGGCAGGGAAGGAAAGGGCUGAGCAAGGACUUGGAUAAAGAAACCACACCAGGCCAAACCUGCUCUUUCCCUGCAGGAACAGCCCAGCCAGUUAAACAGCUUUGGAAACCAUGGGAGAAACUCCCAGGGAAGGGAAGAGAGCGCAGCUCUUUAGUGCUUGGGUUAGAAGUGAGCCAAAGCAGAAAACUCUUUAUUUUUCCAGCUCCCCACCAGCCUCUAGAGAAGAAGAAACAUUUUAAGUGAGAUCCGAAGGAUAAGAGCUUGUCUCAGCAGCUGGGGAGGAAGCCUGAAGUUGGCAUGAAUAACGUGAUCCACAAGGAGAGGAGCCACUGGGCACUUGUGACAGACAGAGAGUGAGGAAGGACAGAAGGCUAUCACCUCCUGAGCAAGGUGUGUUACAUGCAAGAUGCUCCUAAGAUACUACCUAAUGCAGUGCAGUCAUAGGGCACUUCAAUAAUGCUGCCAGUGAUCCAGGCAGGAAAAAAAUUAGUAUUAGGAAAAAAACACAGAAGAAACCGUUGGCUUAUAAGUGAACACACCUCCAUUUCCACAGCCAGGCACAAGUGGUUUGAUUUUAAACCUCGUCCCAUUUCCAUUUCUUAACAAAGGGACUGGGAAACAGCCACUCCUUUGGCAGUGGCUGUUGUGAGGGAUUUCAAUCACCAGCACUCACAUCCUUGUGACUCAGUGCUUUACUGGCAAUCAUGACAGCACCCUGUAAUUAGUACACGUGGUUGUCAGAGGCAAUUAUGUCAUAGUGGAGUGGUUACACUUCCAAGGGGUCCCUGCACCCCCAGCAUGCCCCCAGGGAAUGAGGCAGAGCAGAUAAUCCAUGUAAGACCACAGUGAAUCAAAAGCCGGGCUGGCCAGCAGGAUUUCCCAAAUCCCAUUCUGGUGACAGACGUGCCCAAAAAGUGGUUCCCUUGGCAAAGGCACACCAGGCAUGCGCCCAGACCAUGGGACUGCAGAGAGGCCGGGCAGGGCUGUUGGGAGGCACUGCAGAAUUCCUGAGCAAUGGCUCGGUCACGUUCCUUCUGCUGAGCAUUCCCUGAGUGUUCCGGUGCAACCCUCACCUCACCUCUCUGCACUCUGCUCUUAGCGCAGCCUCAGCGCCCACGUGACUGCUCAGAAAACCCUCAGCUGUUAUUUUUAAACUCCAGACCUCUGUGGGGAGUUUUUAGGGGAGACCUCUACUCCUAAAGGCCCACAAAAAAUAACCAAGGAAAACACACCGACCUGGAGCACCUUUACAUUUAUUGCACAGGGUGUGAUCGUCUCUUGGCUGUAUAAAGGCUGCAGAUUUCAGAGUGCCAAUACCCAAAUUCACAGAAUCCCAGAAUGGUUUGUGUUGGAAGGGACCUUAAAGAUCUUGUUCCACCCCCUGCCAUGGGCAGGGACACUUUCCACUAGCCCAGGUGGCUCCAAGCCCUGUCCAACCUGGCCUUGGACACUUCCAGGGAGGAGGAGGCCAACCUACCCUCCUUCAGCUUUCAUUCCCAAUUCAGACUGGGACAAUCCCAAAUGUGAACACAACCAUAACUGUGGUUAAUUUUCACUUUUAUAUGUUACCAAAAUAAAACCAUCUUCCUCAAGCAGAAAAAACAAGGCCCAAGUGCUCAAAACAGUUUUGAACCAGGGCAUUUAGUCUUUAAAUCAUCUCCCAGCAGAAAAAAUCACAGUGAACGCUUUGGUCAAUGUAUGAUGAGGCUGUAGCAACCCUCACAUCAAACCCUUUCCCACCCUGAGAACAGGAUUCAAAAUGUAGUUUUGCCUCUUAAUUAAUGACCUCAUGACACUAAUGACCUCACUUGGCUCUAACACUGCCAACAGCAGCACAUGCAGAGCUCUGAACAUGUUAGGAAACUACUGCCAAAUUUGUCACAGCAACUGAUUCAUAACCCAUCGUGUCUGUGUCUCUCAUCUGGUACCAACACUGACAACUUUUGAUAGCGAGGACUUAAGACAGUCAAAACCUCAGUGUUGUCCCAAGGAAAAGUGCAAGUUUUUCCAGAUCUGAAGAAGGAACUGCUGCUCCAUGAGAUGCUAUCUUGGGGUUUGUCACUGCGCCCCAAGUUUCAGAGGAGGAAUAUCCUCUGCUCCUCCCUUCCAAAACCUGUUCUCUCACACUAAGAGAAUGGGACUUCAAAAAAGUUAUUUCUAACUACAACUGUCAUGAGCUUUGCGGGGAUAGAAAUGCCAAUGUUUUUAAUGACCCAAGAAAUUAAAUUCCAGCUCCAGGAAAAGAAAACCAUCUCCUAAUCAGGCUGGAAAUGAGGUAUUUAGGCAGGAGACAAGGAGUGCCUUAUUCAUUUUUUCAUCAGACAGAGCUGUGUCCAAGUGCUACAUUUUGUGUUUAUUCUCAUGCUCUUCCACUUCCAAGUCCUGCCUGAAGGACCCAUCAGCCCAUCCCCAAAGAAGGGGAAUACAGGAAUUUCUCAUGCCUGUUCUCAGGCCCUGCCAACUGGAAUAAUUUUACCCACAGAUUUCUACUUGUUACGUUUAAAAUGACAUUUAUGUUAAGGAAAAUCCACUGGCUUUGGCAAAAAAGGCAGAGAAGGAUCUGAGUGCAGAGCUGCUGGCCUCAGAAAUACAGACAGACCAACCAAGCAACAUUAUGAUAAAGUUUUUAUUCAUUUUUUUAAAUAUCAAAUUUUCUUUACACAUCAAUUUUGUUGAUAAACAGUCCCCCGAUAUUAAAAAAAAAAAAAAAUCAAAAAAAGAAUCAAGUGUGUAUUACUCUGGGCAGAACCACAUCCCACUGGUGACACACCCACUCUCCUCCCUUCAGCCGCCUGCGAGGCCGCAGCGUGUUCAGCCCACGAGAGUCAACAACACAAACGCAACCAGCUUUAGGAUUCCUGAGUAUUGAUUCCCUCAAGUUCCCUAAGUGAGUCUGUAAAACUCUGAAGCUAAAAAGCAUCAAAGUGUGACCCAAAGGUACAUUUGGAUCACAGACCAAGCCUCAUCUACACAGUGCAGGAAGAAAUCUCUUGAACACUUCAGAGGGGAAUGAUGUACACGAAACCGACCCCGUUUCCCAAGCUGACUUCCGAGAGAGGCAGGCAAAAAUACCUCUGGAUUUCUCCUCUUUGAAUUCCUGUUAAAGUUCUGGGGAGCUGUUUGGCAAGAAAUCCAAGUCUGGUGAAGAAACCUCUAGGAUCUGCUUCUCCUUUUGUCAAUGGCAUAGCAUCUUAGAGAAGACUGAAGUUAGCAUUCAGCAAGUACACUUAAAUAUUGCUACUUUUGAGGAGAGGAUGGCAAGAGGGAGAGACAAAGACAGGAAGAGAGGAACACAGAGAAGGUACAAGAUUAACAGUCCUGGAGACCAAGUGCCUAUGUAGAAAGUCAAACAGAUGCAGCAACGAGGCAGAUUGUCAGGGUAACAGCACAGCUCAGCUCUGUCCAGCAGCAGGAAAACAUGCCAGGGACCAUCACCAGGAAUAAUCCCUCCUCUUGUCAGUCACUUGUGCCCAGAAACUUCCAGAUUUUGGGAUUUCACUAAACAUCCCUCUGUGCUCACCUACGGCCUUGCGUAGAGAAACACAUGCUCAGCAAAAGGCCAAGGCCAUUGCUUCCAUAUCUUUAAGGUAAAUAAUACAUCCAAAACCAACAGUGGCUCCAGGGAACACCCAGAAACAAUCUCUACAGACCCACCCGGUCCCACAGGCACUGGCAGCUUCACGAAGCAGCUUCUGAGCGUUGCUUUACUCUCUAGAGCAGGACUUCAUGGUGAAAUCCAUUUGCUGAUGUGACAUUAGGACACUGGAGCACCGAUUAAUGAUGAGGGGGAAGAGAAGAGAGCAAAGGUCUGAUUUUAGGCCAGGACACACAGCUCUUUGGAAACCUGAAAAGCUUUUGGUGGUACCUUUAUCCCCUGCUGUAGCCAACAAGCUGUAGCGCUCUGCCAUCCCUCCUUCCAUAGAAAUAUUCCCACUUUGUGAGCCAGGUCAGCACAGGACCAGCGAAGGGAUUGCUGGAAGCUGAGCAGAGGACGUGUGUGUGCACACAGCAGAGAGGACACACAUUGAAACAAAGACAACUUUUAGACAGCGUUCGCUAAACACACAUUCUAUUACAUUUUAUUUUAACCUUAAAUACUCACCACUGCCCCAAUUUUCUCCUAAAUCUUGCUCCUAAAAAAAUUAUUCACUAAUU
Long non-coding RNA from Pseudopipra pipra, 5624 nucleotides. RefSeq lists it as uncharacterized. The record is from RefSeq and is a predicted model, not a curated record. Lineage: Eukaryota; Metazoa; Chordata; Aves; Passeriformes; Pipridae. The transcript is spliced from 2 exons.